UAAUGUUGAUGCCCCAACAUGCUAUGAAGAAACCAUCACUGAUGGAUCAAAUCUCCACAUAUCAAGGUAAUCAAGGCACAGCGGAGACAGCCUUCUGAGCUAAUCUGGGUCAGGAUACAGGGAGAAAUCAGUAGACAAUUAUGGGGUGUGAUCUGAAUAACAAGGUGGAUUGAAGAGCCGUGAGCAGAAGGUAUUAUCAGAGAAUGGAACCAGUAGUUCGAACACUGGAAAUCUGAGGAAUCCUGCUAGAGCUGAACCAGAAAAGUGAGAGGAAGGUAUUUGCCUUGUGGAGUUCAAGAAAAUUAACAUUUGUGGGUGGGGCUGAGCUUUGCAGUUCUGGUGAACGUGGGUGUGUCUUUCCUGAGAAAUGAUAGAAGUUCAUUACUGUCUAUGAUGCUUCUGUUACUGAGGCCAUCCCUCAACACUUGGUUCCUGGGUUACUCCUAUCUGCCUCCCUGGCUCUAGCCUUUCCUCACUCCCCAGGCACCUUUACGCGAGGUAAAUAUGAUUAUGCCAAUCAACCUCUGGCUUGUGACCAAUUUGCCUAUGGUGUGAUGUCCAAAUUUCCAGCAAUGUUUUCAGGAAACUUUAAAUCUUAUCUUCUGCUUGUCUUCUCAGCCACUCCUAUUCAUUGUUCCUAAUUCCUGUUUUACACAUAAUAUUUUAUGCUCUUUGCCCUGUAAUGCAUUGUCUUUUUUGCUUGUGCCUUUGUGAAUGAUUUUCUCCUUGCCUGGAAAUUGUUACCCUUCCCAUUCCUGAACUAGAUUCUUAGAUUUCUCCUCUAAGAAAGAGUAUGGAAACCACUUCCUCCAGGCAUCUUUUCUGACAUUCUCUAUUCUCUUUAUUCCAGGUUAGAUAAAGUACUGGUAUCUAGCAUUGGCAAAAACACUCUCCGCUACCGUCUACAACAGCCCUUAUCCUACUACAUUUUAAUCACUAAGGUGAUUGUAAUCAUUUUAAUCACUACAUGUUGCUUUAACACUCACUAGACCACGAUUCUUGAAUGCAGUUUUAUAUUCUCAGAACAUAUCACUGGACUCAGCCUGGGGUGGCCUCAGGAAAGUUUGUGCAGUGACCAGUACAUGUAUCUACCCAGCAUCUGUGAAGACCAUUGGUUGGAGCUGGGGCCCAAGCCAAACCUUCCUGCUCUGAGUUUCCUAUCUGGUCAAAUUGUGAUUCCCUAGCUGCCUCCCAGCUGGCACCCACACCUUUGAGAAAGCAAUUUGUCAGUAUGCGUGUGGAAAAAGGCUAUGUGUCCAAAGAUGUUCAUUGCAGCAUUGCCUGUGAUAGAAACACAGAAGAAACAAUCAAAUUACAAUGAAUAAGUAAAUUAUAGCAUGUCAGCGUGCUGGAAUUUAUGCAGCCUUAAAAACCAUGAUUAUGAAGACAGCAGAACGGCCUGAAAGAGGAAAGACUCAGCACUUUGUGUGCACCCUACAAAGAGCAAAACCCAACUCCAUUAAAAGAUUCUUUGUCUGUUAAUUUAUUUAUUAAUUCAACAAACACUUACUGAGUACUUACAAUGUGCAAGGCCCUGCUUGUUAGCAGGAAGUCUAGAUUUUAAUAAAGAUCAUAAGGGAAAAUAACAACAUUUGAUGUAAAGCUGUCCUCAUUUACCAUUUUCCCUCCCUCUCCCCCUCCCUGCUAAGUCCCUCUUUUAAAUGCUCUUGAAACUUCUUCCUACUUUGCCAGUCUAACAUCACCUUUCUUCCCUUCCAUCAUUCCCCAUCUUUAGUUCCCUUUAUAUGUUGAGUGAGUAAUUUAUCUGUCAUUCUCCUAGUUUUUCCAGUCUUGCAUCCUCAUACCCAUUAUUGCCCCUGAGCAAACACUGGGGUCUUUUAGUAUUUAUUUUCCUUAGAAGACAGUGGAGCGAUUGUAAAUAACAAUUUCAUAGGUAAGUAACAUAACAUAAGUUAUGUUUCCCUGCCAUGGUACUCGUUUAAUCAGUCAGAGGUGCACUGGGGGUAGGACACCUAAUUGGAGAGGCUGGCCACCCUGGAUGCUGGUCCACUCCAAGUUCAAGGUGGUUCAUUGGACAUGACAACCCCCCUGCCCCUCUGGGGACAGGUAAGCCACUCCUUGUGAGUUUUCAGGAGGGUUUGAAUGAUGUUUAUAAGGGGUCUUAUGGACCAUCUCAUGGCUAAAGAGCAAUCUUGCUAUGGCUAUUCUCUCCCUUUCAGAGCUGGGAGGAAGUUGCUGGAAGGAAGAGAGAGAGCGCCAGUUGGCCUAGUUCUAGGUACAGCCCAAUGGUCCUGACUGUGGCCCAUUUUUGGAAUUAAUUACGAAGAUUUCUCUUCCCUUAUCACAUGGAAGAUAAAAUUUGUGUAACUUGAGCUUUUGGUAUAAUGAUCCUGGAAGAUUGAUGAAAAAUAUUUAAGGCAGCAUUUCUCAACCUUGGCACCAGGAACAUUUCAGGGAAGACUGUGCAUGAAAGGCAGAGAUACAACUUACAGCACUGCCUCGUGGCCUCUGUGACUGAAUCAGAUGUUGAAUCACUGCGGAAAUACCCCAGGUAUGUUAUAGUUUGAACGAAGCCACUCACGUAUCCAUCUAAUUUCCGGAAGAUCUUGAUUGUGAAGGACUGUUUGUAGAUCCCAUCAGAGGAGCCCAGAGGCCUGCCCUGCAAGCCCAAGAUUUGGAGGUUGGAGGCUGUCCUCUGAGGAACUUCUGAGGCCAAGAGGGCCCAGCAGAGUGGUUCCCACAAAGAAGUGUGGUAAGAAGAAGGGCCCUUCUGCAAUCAAUGAAGUAGUGACCAGAGAAUCCACCAUCAAUAUUCCCAAGCACAUCCAUGAAGUGAGUUUCAAGAAGUGUGCCCCUUAGGCACAAAGAGAUCUGGAAAUUUGCCAUAAAGGAGAUGGGAACUCCAGAUGUGUGCAUUCACACCAGGCUCAACAAAACUAUCUGAGCCAAAGAAAUAAAGAAUAUUCCAUACCA
Long non-coding RNA from Felis catus (domestic cat), 2934 nucleotides. RefSeq lists it as uncharacterized. The transcript is spliced from 6 exons. The record is from RefSeq and is a predicted model, not a curated record. Lineage: Eukaryota; Metazoa; Chordata; Mammalia; Carnivora; Felidae.